This is a long non-coding RNA of Ictalurus punctatus (channel catfish), 495 nucleotides long. The record is from Ensembl. NCBI's taxonomy places the organism in Eukaryota, Metazoa, Chordata, Actinopteri, Siluriformes, Ictaluridae.
CGGGGUUACACAUAAGGGAGAGGUUACAUAAGGGCGGGGUUACACAUAAGGGGUUACAUAAGGGUGGGGUUACACAUAAGGGCGGGGUAACACAAGGGGUUACACAUAAGAGCGGGGUUUCACAUAAGGGUGAGGUUACACAUAAGGGAGGUUUACACAUAAGGGGUUACAUAAGGGCGGGGUUACAUAAGGGCUGGGUUACACAUAAGGGCGGGGUUACACAUAAGGGGUUACAUAAGGGCGGGGUUACACAAGGGCUGGGUUACACAUAAGGGGUUACAUAAGGACGGGGUUAUACAUAAGGGGUUACAUAAGGACGGGGUUACAGAUAAGGGAGAGGUUACAUAAGGGCGGGGUUACACAUAAGGGGUUACAUAAGGGUGGGGUUACACAUAAGGGCGGGGUUACACAUAAGUGGUACCCCCACAUAAGGGGUUACAUAAGGGCAGGGUUACACAAGGGGUUACAUAAGGGUGAGGUUACACAUAAGGGCUG